ACCUCCCACAUAGGGUCACCCGCUACAGUCGAUCCAGAUGACCUUUGGAAGACACGGGGUCUUGCUAUAUUGCACAGACUGGUUUCCUGGACUUAAACAAUCCUCCGGCCUCAGCCUCUCAAAGUGCUGGGAUUACAAGCAUGAGCCACCACACCCAGCCCAGAAGGAGAUUUUCAUUGAGUGAAUGAAAUUCCACAGUGAACACUUAUACUUCAUCCGUUGACUCUAGAUGACACUGAACCUCACGAUAGGAAACUUUCAGUGUGAGAUGGAUCAUCUCGUUUCAAAGAGCAAAGAACUGAUCCCUGAAAAGACUGAGAGAAGUUGUGACAAGCCGUUCUCUCAAACGAUGUUUCCAGUGGCAUUUUCAAGAAAAUGCGGAGGGAAGCCCAUGAAGCCCAAGACUCCCGCCCAGCUGGAGGCUGCCUGCCUUUGCUUGUAACCUCCAUCAGGGCACCGUGCCUGACCAUACCUGCCUGCAAAGGCUCUAGGGCUUGCAGGAUCUCUGGAACUGCUGAACUGAGAUGUGGGUCUCAACCAUGUGGGUUUGGUUCUGCCUUCUCCAUGCUCGGACUAGAUCUCUUUCUAGACGCAAACCUAACUUCCCCUGUGAUGCCACAUGCACUGGGCCAGGGCUUGUUGCAAACUCCAUAGUUGUGUUUCCUGGACCACCCACUCAGUAGCAUCCCAGACAGUGAACCAGAGCCCUAAUUGGGCCUGGAAAUCACUGGAAGAGAAAUAAAAGAGGAUUAAGCUGGGAUUACUCUUCUUUCUUAUUUACCACUCCCUGAGAGCUCUUCUUCCCCAGCCUCUCCAGCUGGCCUCUCUUCACAACUGAAACUACCAACCCCCUCUGCCCCCCAUCAUAUAGCAUUAGCCCUACUCCAAUCUUUCUAGAAAGUUCUUGUUCUGGAGUCCAGAACGAAUACAGAUAUUGAAUAAGGCAUAUUUUGGAGAUCAGGACCCAGUAGGAUGUAGCCUCGUAGCUGUAGCAAAACAGGAAAGAUUGGUUAGAAUUGGACCCAGAACUAGACCAGGAUGGAGCCCAACUAGUCCCAGGUGCUGUUAUGGCAUCUACUGCGGUAGUGCCAUCAUUGGGCAUACUCACAUGCCUUAGUCCAUGCUCAGGGACAAAUGGAGCAAAGCAACUGGGACCUAGAGAUACAGUCAAAUAGAAUUAAGCUAGUCCAUUGGUGGAUAAAGGGUUCCUAGCCCCUGGGCUGAGUUUGAGGACCUUUUCUUAGCAGGAACUGCACUGCCAGGUAAUUUAGCAGAAUAGGGAAGCAAUGCAAGAAUCCAGCUACCAGAUCUGUGGGUCAAGGAACAUACUAUGACUUCUGAGCAAAACUAGUUUUGAUAUUUGAACAAAACUAGAGGGAAGAAGGCUGAGGCUUGGAGAUACUCUUUAGGAAUUCUGCCUGCCUGUGAUUCUCCUUAUAGAAUUCAGAGGAAUAAACAAUGCCCCACCCAGGACUGACAUAGAAUGCAGAGAGGGUAACCCAGGCAGCCCCAGGUACUCGCCUGGGUCCAAAGGCCAACCUUGGCCUUCAACACUGCAACAUUUCUUUACUAUACAAGUGGUAUCCUUCAUACUCACAUGUCAUGGUUUAUGCUAUCUAAAAAUUAGAAUUGACCUGUAGUCCCAGCUACUGGGGAGGCUGAGGUGGGAGGAUCCCUUGAGCCCAGGAAGUCAGGGCUGCAGUGAAUCAUGAUCAUGGCCUCACACUCCAGCUUGUGCAACAGAGUGAGACCCCCAUCUCAAAUAAAUAAAUAGGCCAGGUGUGGUGGCUCACGCCUGCAAUCCCAGCACUUUGGGAGGCUGAGGUGGGUGGAUCACAAGGUCAGGAGUUCGAGACCAGCCUGGCCAAUAUGGUGAAACCCCCGUCUCUACUAAAAAUACAAAAAAUUAGCCAGGCGUGGUGGUGGGUGCCUGUAGUCUCAGCUACUCGGGAGGCUGA
This is a long non-coding RNA of Pan troglodytes (chimpanzee), 1958 nucleotides long. RefSeq lists it as uncharacterized. Lineage: Eukaryota; Metazoa; Chordata; Mammalia; Primates; Hominidae. The record is from RefSeq and is a predicted model, not a curated record. The transcript is spliced from 4 exons.